Molecule: RNA transcript, 1215 nt
Organism: Amaranthus tricolor (Joseph's coat)
Lineage: Eukaryota; Viridiplantae; Streptophyta; Magnoliopsida; Caryophyllales; Amaranthaceae
Gene name: probable glucan 1,3-alpha-glucosidase
Exons: 4
Source: RefSeq, a predicted model, not a curated record
UGAAAAGAAACUGAAAAAAUCCCGCUUAAUUCUUCUACACCCCUCAUCAUUCUAAACCCUAACCCGACUCUCUCUUCUUCAUUUUUUCACUGUAAACGGCGGUCCUGUUCCCAUCCCAUCUGUUCUCCUCCAAUCCGGCCUGCAGAACACGUUCAUCCUCUCAAGCAGUCAACAUGUUCAUCUCCGGCAGCCUUUAUGGUUGGUAACAGUAUUUCGGUGCAAGGAGUGUACUCCGAGUCCUCCUUUGUUUCCGAUCCAGAAAGCUAAGCACACAUCGGUAUAUCUUACCGGAGGACAAUACUGGUAUGAUAUGAGAACCGGAAAUGCCUACAAGGGAGGUGCGACCUAUGAAUUGGAGGUGUCUGAUGAAAGUGUUCCUGCUUUCGAAAGGGCAGGGACCAUCAUUCCCCGGAAGGAUCGCUACCGCCGAAGUUCCACCCAGAUGGUGAAUGAUCCAUACACACUGGUAUCCUUCUAGAUCUCAACUAACAUAUCGAUCUAGUUUUGGGUGUCGGAGGAUUUUCUGUCUUGACUUUUAAUGUCUUCUCAGUUUCAAGUAUUUUACUUUCUAAAUGCUUAUUUUCUAACCCCAAUUCCUCACUGUCGUUCUUCCUCCCUAUGAGAAAACUCGCAUCCAUUAGCUUUUGCAAUUAACCCUAAUCUCGGAAAGGAAAAAAAAUUUCAACUUCAGUUUGCAUUCGAGUUCUACUAUUCAAGCCUCCCUAUCCCUUAAUCGAUUACCAUUCGAGUUUUGCUUCUCAAUGAGAUUUUAUUUGACCUAGCAACAAGUGAGUUUCAAUCCCAAUUCCGCUUGAUAAUAGACGUACACUGAAAGGAAGGUCCAAGCUCAACAGCAAGAAUGGUAUAGGAAAUCUGCACUCUGACCCAAAUCAAUUGGCCAGCGCAGAUAAAACAUUGUUCGAUCACGGACUUGGUGCACAUACUUUAUAUAGUCGCUCAACAGCAAGAAGAUUAAUAGACAUACUUUAUAUAGUCCCGAAAUUCUCAAGUCGCAUAGCCAUGGUUUUGGUGAUGUGGGAAGUUAUUUUUCGAAGAUGUAAUUCUUGUUUUUAAUCAAUACUUGUUUUGUGUUUUACAUUUGUGUUAAUUGCACAUCCAAACUACUAAUAAUUUGGAAUUUUGGAUCAUCUAUGUAAAAUGUUGACAAUAUUUUGGGGCAAAUAAAGUCAUUUUUUUGUAAUUUUUUAACUUGUA